AAAGGAGAGAGAUACAGAGGGAAAGAGAGAGGGAGAGAGAGAUAGAAAAGGAAAGAGAGCGAGAGAGAGAGAGAGAGAGAGAGAGAGAGGAGUGGGGAGAGAGAGAUAGCUAUAGAGGAGAACUAUCACAGUUACACAUGCCCUGAUCCCCCUUUCUCCCUCCUCCAUAUAUUAUAUCAUAAGUGACGCCUCUGGGAGAACCGCUGACUUCCACUCAUCAUUUAUCAGCCCCUGGAUUCACUCAUUCAAAUAUAUAUAAAAGAUAUAUAAAAAUAAUAUACCUCAAAAAGGUGUCGAUGGGUUCGGUUCUCAGCUGCUGGCUUUAUUCACCGUGUACACUGUAUAAUAAACAGCAUCAGAGCUCUGGGAAAGACAAACGCUUACAACACGGAAGAGUAGCGUACGACCGUAAUACUAGCGCUGCUGAAUUCUCCAUUCUGAUUGGCCGGCAGAGGCUGAUGUUCCUGGGAUAAGGAUCUGGAUCCAGCGAUAUCCUGACCAGGAUGAAGUGCUUGCUGAAAAUGAAUGAAUGAAUAAAUGACUGGCGUCUCAUUUAAGGAGCGAGACGGCGAGAGAUGACUCCAGACUUAUGAAUGACUCUAUGAAGCCAGAGUUCGGAGUGAGUCAAACUUCCUCAGCUUGUUCGCCAAAAACAAAAAAAAAAGACCAUGUACACAAUGAAUUUGGACACUUUUGUAUAAGCAAGCAUGACCUAGAAAAAAAAAACAGAUAGUACAGUGCGACGAGAAGGAAGAAAGUUUGUGCUGCUCUUGAUGAUCGAAGAGCGACUCCAGGAGACGGGAGAGAUCUUCGAGAAGACUUGGACGGAGAGAAGAAAACUGAGAGGGAGAAAAGGCAAGAAAGAAAUUAGAGAUGAGCUAGAGAUAGAAGGAAAAGAAAAGACAUAGAGAGAGAGAGAGAGAGAGAGAGAGAGAGAGAGAGAGAGAGAGAGAGAAACGGGCUUGUUUGCUUUUGCACAGGCGCUGAUUGACGUACUUGCUCACAGUGACUCAGUGAGUGGAUGGAGGACCGUGAAAGUUCAUGUUGGGAAUAGUAUGAUGCGAGUGAAGAGGGGGCCGCAGCCGUUCUGUCUCCUACCACACAGCAUACGGACCGGCAUGUGCACUCGCACGUCACUCCGCUGGCCACGGCAACCGCCGUAGAAACGGCCUCCACUCAUCCCUGCCGCGUGUCCUCCUCCUUCUCCUUCGUCCUGCACUUCGCUAAUAGAAACACAUGAAAGACGUGCGUUAAAAAAACAAAACGAAAAAAAAAGCACACAAUUCAGAGAGAAAUCACAGGGGGGUGAAUAUUUAUGCAAGCUACUGAUAAACAACAGCAAAUUGAGGAACCUUUGACAGCACCAUUGAGAGCAUCCUGAGCAGCUGCAUCACUGCCGGGUUUGGAAAUUACACCGUAUUGGACCGUAAGACCCUGCAGUGGAAAGUGAGGACAGCGGAGAUCACUUGGGUCUGUCUUCCCUCCAUCAUAGACAUUUACACCACACGGUGCAUCGGCAAAGCCACCAGCAUUGUGGAUGACCCCACACACCCGCCUCACACAAACUCUUCACCCUCCUGCCGUCUGGAAAAAGGUACCGAAGCAUUCGGGCCCUCACGGCCAGACCGUGUAAGAGCUUCUUCCCCCAAGCCAUCGGACUCCUCGAUGCUCAAAGACUGGACUGACACCCACACACACACGCACACACACGCACACACAAACACACAAAACAGAAAGCUGCGUUGUGUUUGCAAUUGUUUGAUAUCCAUGAGAGCAGAGUAUUCGUUAAAGGUUAAACAAUAAAGACAAAUUUUCACAGUUUCCUUUGCUCACA
Molecule: long non-coding RNA, 1834 nt
Organism: Ictalurus punctatus (channel catfish)
Lineage: Eukaryota; Metazoa; Chordata; Actinopteri; Siluriformes; Ictaluridae
Source: Ensembl